Molecule: ribosomal RNA, 443 nt
Filed under: uncultured bacterium
Lineage: Bacteria
Description: partial 16S ribosomal RNA
Rfam family: Bacterial small subunit ribosomal RNA
Source: RNAcentral
CCUACGGGUGGCUGCAGUGGGGGAUAUUGGACAAUGGGGGAAACCCUGAUCCAGCGACGCCGCGUGAGUGAAGAAGUAUUUCGGUAUGUAAAGCUCUGUCAGCAGGGAAGAAAGAAAUGACGGUACCGGACCAAGAAGCCCCGGCUAACUACGUGCCAGCAGCCGCGGUAAGACGUAGGGGGCAAGCGUUAUCCGGAAUUACUGGGUGUAAAGGGAGCGGAGACGGGGAGGCAAGUCUGGAGUGAAAGGCGGGGGCCCAACCCCCGGACUGCUCUGGAGACUGUGUAACUUGAGUGCAGGAGAGGUAAGCGGAAUUCCUAGUGUAGCGGUGAAAUGCGUAGAUAUUAGGAGGAACACCCGUGGCGAAGGCGGGUUGCUAGACUGUAACUGACACUGCGGCACGAAAGCGUGGGGAGCAAACAGGAUUAGAUACCCUUGUAGUC